Betta splendens (Siamese fighting fish) is the source of this 551-nucleotide long non-coding RNA. RefSeq lists it as uncharacterized. Lineage: Eukaryota; Metazoa; Chordata; Actinopteri; Anabantiformes; Osphronemidae. The transcript is spliced from 4 exons. The record is from RefSeq and is a predicted model, not a curated record.
UGAGGAGCAAAGAGCUCGAGGUGGUUUAAACGGAGCCAGAGCCAGAGUGUUUCAGCGACAGAGUGACGAGGUUUCCACGAGCUCCGAGACUCAACGCGUUACUGGUGCUGCUGUGGUUUUGUAGUUAAAAGCAACCCGUGCCUCUCUAAGUCUCUAAAACGAGUGUUGUGACGUCAGCGCGAGGGGGGGUGUUUGUUUUUAGCGCUAAACCAGGCGAAGGUGGAGGAGGGAAGCAAGCCGGCAUUCCAUCAACAACAGAAGGAGCAGGAGCUCCUGGACGAAGGAGGUUGGAGGAGAACAAAGCGCUCUGAGGUGACAAAAAGGAGGCAGAGCUGCAGUUAGAAGAGGGAGGAGGACGAGGAGGCAGAGCUGCCUGGUUCCUGACUAGAACACGGGCCAGAUUCAGCCAUCCUAAUGGUGCGGAUGGACCUCCUCAGACUCCUGAUUUGCUUGGCCUGCCGCUGAAGUUUCGACUCCAGGUGGGUCUGAAUGGCGGCGCCCAGCGUCUCUGGGUCCACGGCGGCACCGUAAACCUCCCACGUCAUCCCCUG